RNAcentral lists this ribosomal RNA (494 nucleotides) under uncultured bacterium. Its description in RNAcentral is "partial 16S ribosomal RNA". It matches the Rfam family "Bacterial small subunit ribosomal RNA", at positions 28 to 507 of the family's 1533-position model. The record is from RNAcentral.
GACGAACGCUGGCGGCGUGCUUAACACAUGCAAGUCGAACGGAAAGGCCUGCUUUCCCUUGUGGAUUGCGGGUACUCGAGUGGCGAACGGGCGAGUAACACGUGAGUGAUCUGCCCCCAACUUUGGUAUAAGCCUGGGAAACUGGGUCUAAUUCCCGAUAGGACUGCAGGGUGGUGCCUGUGGUGGAAAACGAUUUUCUAGUGGUUGGGGAUGAGCUCGCGGCCUAUCAGCUUGUUGGUGGGGUAAUGGCCUACCAAGGCGGCGACGGGUAGCCGGCCUGGGAGGGUGGACGGCCACAUUGGAACUGAGAUACGGCCCAGACUCCUACGGGAGGCAGCAGUGGGGAAUAUUGCACAAUGGGCGGAAGCCUGAUGCAGCGACGCCGCGUGGGGGAUGACGGCCUUCGGGUUGUAAACUCCUUUCGACCGCGAGGAAGCCACCUGGUUGGAAGGGUGGUGACGGUAGUGGUAGAAGAAGCACCGGCUAACUACGUG